Molecule: ribosomal RNA, 392 nt
Filed under: uncultured fungus
Lineage: Eukaryota; Fungi
Description: bacterial SSU rRNA
Rfam family: Eukaryotic small subunit ribosomal RNA
Source: RNAcentral
GUAGUCAUAUGCUUGUCUCAAAGAUUAAGCCAUGCAUGUCUAAGUACGAGCCGCUAGACGGCGAAACCGCGAAUGGCUCAAUAAAUCAGUUAUGGUUCCCAAGAAUGAUUCAAUCCUACUCGGAUAACUGUGGUAAUUCUAGAGCUAAUACGCGACAAAAACUCCGACGCCGGGUUCUCGGGUCCUUGGCGAAAGAGUGCUUUUAUUAGAUCAAAACCAGUGGCCGUUGGCGGCUCUCGGGCCGCCGGCGGCAACAAUUUUUGGUGACUCUGGAUAACCUCAUGCUGAUCGCACGGCCUCCGCGCCGGCGAUAUUUCUUUCAAAUGUCUGCCUUAUCAACUGUCGAUGGUAGGUUAUGCGCCUACCAUGGUUGCAACGGGUAACGGGGAAUG